This 233-nucleotide unclassified non-coding RNA is filed under the name Ambisporaceae sp. RNAcentral's name for it is "partial contains 5.8S ribosomal RNA and internal transcribed spacer 2". The stretch from base 1 to 71 matches the Rfam family "5.8S ribosomal RNA", at positions 84 to 154 of the family's 154-position model. Lineage: Eukaryota; Fungi; Glomeromycota; Glomeromycetes; Archaeosporales; Ambisporaceae. The record is from RNAcentral.
GUGAAUCAUCGAAUUUUUGAACGCAUAUUGCACUCUCUGGUAUUACGGAGAGUAUGCCUGUUUGAGGGUAAUUAAAAAGAAUCUUUAUCCUAUUUUUUUAGGUUAAAGGAAAUGAGUUUUCUGCGUUUAUAGCGGUAGCUUGAAAUAAAUGGUAGUCUCAUUUUAGUCGAGACGCGUAAUAAUUUUAUUUUGUGAAAUCUUUAUUAUGUGACUUUCACGUUAUGAUGUAUACU